AGAGUUUGAUCCUGGCUCAGAAUGAACGCUGGCGGCAUGGAUUAGGCAUGCAAGUCGAACGCGCCGAGGGCAACUUUGGCGAGUGGCGAAAGGGUGAGGAACGCGUGAGAAACCUACCUCUGAAACCGGAAUAGCCCCGGGAAACUGGGAGUAAUGCCGGAUGUGGUUACGGGUCGCAUGGCCCGUGUACUGAAGGCGCAAGCCGUUCGGGGAUGGUCUCGCGUCCGAUUAGCUUGUUGGCGGGGUCACGGCCCACCAAGGCGAAGAUCGGUAGCUGGUCUGAGAGGAUGGUCAGCCACACUGGGACUGAGACACUGCCCAGACUCCUACGGGAGGCUGCAGUCGAGAAUCUUCCGCAAUGGGCGAAAGCCUGACGGAGCGAUGCCGCGUGAGGGAUGAAGGCCUUCGGGUUGUAAACCUCUGUCGCCCGGGACGAAAACAAUGACGGUACCGGGAGAGGAAGCUACGGCUAACUACGUGCCAGCAGCCGCGGUAAUACGUAGGUAGCGAGCGUUAUUCGGAUUCACUGGGCGUAAAGGGUCCGCAGGAGGCCUGUCAAGCCAGACGUGAAAGCCCAAGGCUCAACCUUGGAAUGGCGUCUGGGACUGCCGGGCUUGAGUGCACGAGGGGAAAGCAGAAUUCCUGGUGUAGCGGUGGAAUGCGUAGAUAUCAGGAGGAAUACCGAUGGCGAAGGCGGCUUUCUGGCGUGCAACUGACUCUCAGGGACGAAAGUGUGGGGAGCAAACAGGAUUAGAUACCCUGGUAGUCCACACUGUAAACGGUGCGCACUCGAUGCGGGGGUGACUCCGGUCAUCUCCGUGUCUGAGCUAACGCGUUAAGUGCGCCGCCUGGGGACUACGGCCGCAAGGCUAAAACUCAAAGGAAUUGACGGGGGCCCGCACAAGCGGUGGAGCAUGUGGCUUAAUUCGAGGCAACGCGAAGAACCUUACCCGGGUUUGACAUCCAUUGGACCGCUGAUGAAAGUCAGCUUUCCGCAAGGACUGAUGGACAGGUGCUGCAUGGCUGUCGUCAGCUCGUGUCGUGAGAUGUUCGGUUAAGUCCGGCAACGAGCGCAACCCAUACCGUCUGUUGCUACCAGGUAAAGCUGGGCACUCUGGCGGGACUGCCCGUGUCAAGCGGGAGGAAGGUGUGGAUGACGUCAAGUCCGUAUGGCCCUUACAUCCGGGGCUGCACACGUGCUACAAUGGACGGCACAGUGGGACGCGAAGCCGCGAGGCAGAGCAAAUCCCCAAAACCGUCCCCAGUUCAGAUUGAAGUCUGCAACCCGACUUCAUGAAGCCGGAAUCGCUAGUAAAGGCGUAUCAGCUACGACGCCUUGAAUACGUUCCCGGGCCUUGUACACACCGCCCGUCACAUCAUGGGAGCCGGCUGCACACGACAUCUCCGAUCCAACCGCAAGGGGGUAGGAGCCUAAGGUGUGUCCGGUGACUGGGAUGAAGUCGUAACAAGGUA
This 1473-nucleotide ribosomal RNA is filed under the name metagenome. RNAcentral describes it as "bacterial SSU rRNA". It matches the Rfam family "Bacterial small subunit ribosomal RNA". The record is from RNAcentral.